Rhincodon typus (whale shark) is the source of this 2325-nucleotide long non-coding RNA. RefSeq lists it as uncharacterized. Lineage: Eukaryota; Metazoa; Chordata; Chondrichthyes; Orectolobiformes; Rhincodontidae. The record is from RefSeq and is a predicted model, not a curated record. The transcript has 2 exons.
AGAAAACUCCAGACACACUUUGCAAGAAAACAUGAAAUUCAUUAGAGCUCCAACUCAGGUCAUUUGGGGAAAGCAGGACCAGGUACUGGAUGUUUCAGGAGCUGGAGUCCUUGCUGAUAAUAUUCCUGGUUGUAGAGUGGAUCUCUUGGAAAACUGUGGCCAUUCUGUGGUGAUGGAGCGGCCCCGUAAGAGUGCUAAAAUUAUCCUGGAAUUUUCAGCUUCCCUACAAAACACAAGACCAGAAAACAAUAAGAAGUUAGCCUAACAUUUAUAAAUGAAAGCUGUAUUGCUUUGGAUUGCAAAUAAAAUGUGAUGCUGUAAUAAUUUCCCAGGAAGCAAAAUGACUUGAUUGAAUGCUGAUGGCCCAAUAUUGUCUAUUAAGAGUGUUAGUUAAUAAUGUUUGGUAGUGCUUUCAAAUUACAUAAACACAAUUUUGAAAGACACAGAAUAUUGCCAGAAACUAAAAGCAUGCAGUAUAUAAAAAGGAACAUAAAUCACAGGAAAAUGCUCUUCUUUGCCAGAUUUCCUACACUAGAUUGAUCUUCAUUUUGGCAGUCUAUGUUUCACCAUUUGAUACAAGUAGCAAUGCAAUACUUUCCCAUUUUUCAGUUCAAGGUCAGUUUCAUAAAAUUCAUAAAUCAUUAGCAUAAUUUAUUAAAUAUGUAAUUUAUAUUUUAGAAUUAUUUUUGAUUGCUCAGUUAUUUAAAUCUGUAGAAGGUGGUUACAAAGCUUUUGUGGUUAGUCAUAACUUUUUCAACGGUGAUGUUGCAGGGAAGGUACAGUUGCUAUCAAUACUGUUCAAUAGAGAUUUUAUCAUAGUUUUGAUAGGAAUUUGCAUUUGUGUGGCUAUUUGUUUGUAACAAUGUAUUAUAAAAUUUCCUCUGAACAAUUGCUAAACAUCACUACAGUAAUAAACAUUGUGACCAUAAUUUUGCAUAAUAUCUGCUUUAACAGAUAUGACAAACUGGGAAAUAAGUAAGAUGUUCUAUAAACUUUGAAACAUUUAUUUGAGAUUUAACACAUUGGUUCAGUUUACUAUUUAAUAAAUAAACCAGCACUGGGCAAAGAGAUUUCAUGAAGUCAGUGAAUCAAACAAUAAAAUGUUCACAUAGGAUAUGUCUUCAGAAAAAGGAGACGUUCAUAGUAAUUUUGAUCUUACAGGUAAAUGUUUAUGUGAAGAAUAUUACUAAGAAGUAAGAUGCUGCUUUAUCCACAAAUCUGCUUUAGUUCAUUGUUUAGACUUUUCCCCAUCCUCUGUUAUUUGGUUCAACUGAGAUGACUGUAGAUCAUUAAACAAAUAGGCUAAAGCUGUUCUCAGUGUUGAGUAAGGUAUCCUGGUUAUCAUUUCUUUAUUCCAUCAAUGACUUAUGAAUUCUGUGAAUUCUAUUGCUGUUUAAUAAUUAUACUUAAAAUAUUUGUGAUGCGUCAAUAUUCCCAUAAUAGACAAUCCUAUUUAAGUUGUAGAAAUAAGUUUAAUUGUUCUAGCCAUCAAGUGCUGGAAUCCCAUGAGUGUUGAGAAGGGAACAGUGCAUCAGCUGAGUUUGUCUACAAUUAUUCGGCAAAUUGCACUAACUCUUGAACUCUUGGAUUAUGACUGUGAAUGUUGCACCUGCAAAAAGAGGUUACAAGAGCAGUCCUCAUUGUGCUCCACUUCAGCAACUCAUGUUGAAAGGGAUUCAGUUCAUGGUACUGAACCCUCUGGAAAGGUCAAUAGGUGUGAGGAUGUUGUGGGUCAAGUGGAAAGAUAAUAGUUUACUGGAGAUACUAAUAUGUAUGAUUGAGAUUGAAAUGUUUUCGUUUGUGAACAUUUUAAGGUCCAAGUAAACAGUUUUCCAAUGAAAACUAUCUUUCACUGAAAAUUUUGGAAAAAUGUUAAUAUUAAUUGAUUUCUAGGAUUGGAUUCCGUAAUAUCUUUUCAUCUCUGUGACCAAGGAAUGAAAACAGAACUGUCAGAAAAAAUAGUUCCUUCCUUCCUCUCUCUCUGUCACUGUUAAAGGGUCUAACUGUAAUGAAUUGAGAUGGGCUUAGUUAACUGAUCAGAAAUAAAACUUUGCAAAAGCAUAUUGCUUUCAAAUGUGAUACAAUGAGUGGUUUCACUUACAGUCUAUGGAAAAGAUUGUAUCCUAUGGGGUGACUUCUGUAGCUAAUAUCUCUUUGGGUGAAUUGAGAGAGGUUUGUAUUUUCAAAGUUUUGUUUUGUUUAUCCUAGUUUGCUAAGUUGUAUCCCCAAUUAUAUACUGAGUGCAUGUUUCAGUUUUUAUGUUUAUUUAUUGUUUAUCUUUCUUAGCAUAAGUACAAAAUUUAAUAAAAUGAUUACUAUCCUUUA